UUUGCAUCACAAGUUGUUAACCAAAAUAUACUAGCAUAUUCUACCAAAUUACAUUGUAUACCAGAAGCUAAUACAACUUCCUUUUGUUCCUAUAAGUAUGCAUUAUAUCGUUGGCAUCCAUAGUUUAAAUAUUAUGGAGAACAAGAUCUUAUAAGUAUAAUAAUUUGAUUAGAAACUAGCAUAAAGCUUAAUCCAGCACUUAACUGAUUUCAUCGAGUGAUAAAAUGUGCAACUAAAUUUUCAUGUCGAUGCUAACUGCUGUCUUUUUUGGAACAUGCAUAACAAGAUCGGGAAAGCAAGAUAUAUGGCACUUUAGCAAGCUACUAGCUAAUUGUUAAUGCAGCACAUCUAGGAUUUGCAUAUAGCCUUUUAGCACAUAGGCAACUUACCUCAUUUGAUUCACUCAACAAAAGCCUUCGUUCAGAGUGUCCCAGAAUGACCCAUGGAAUGUCAAGGUUGACAAGCAUCUCAGCACUGCACAAGGAAAAACAAAUAUAUUCAAAUUAGGAGUGCCCAAUUGUUUUACAACAUUGUUAUAACUUAAAGAUGUGCAAGUAGGCAAUGAAAUGGCCAUUCAAAUAAAAACACCAUCAAAGUUGAAAAACCUAAAAAUAUACUACAGAAUGAACCAAAAAUAGAAACCUUAAAAAUCAAAAGUUCAUAACAUAGUAAGAAUUUGAUGAAAAAAGGCCCAUAAAAUGUGAUCCAAUGAUAAAAAUAUAAAUAAGAGAAAAAGUUGUUCUUAUUUGAACAGAGAGCAUGAACAAGUUCAAAUUCAUCUAGGGACAAAAAUCAUACCUAAUCUCACCAGUGUAAGCACCUCCUUUCUUAACCCAACAAUUUUGUGCUGCGACAUGGAAUUCAGGGCGCAACGAGCUUUUUACGAGCGGAAGAAAAACAAAUGAAGGGCUAACCACCACAUCUGCAGAGAUAAUAAUACAUAUAAUUUAAUGCGUUUACAGUGGUUGCACAUCGACAACUAGCCUAUCUAACAGUUAUAAAUAGAUACAACAUGUAAAUGACAGCAUACACAUUCUAAUUCCACAAGACAGUUUUGCAGAACAUGUGAGGAACUGGAAAAGCAACUCAGCGGAUAACACCAAUGAGUAUCAAGAACUAAAGGUUUCAAAGGCGAAGAUAUAAUUCUAUCUCUCAGUCAAAUAAAAUUGACGAUCGCUAAAUCAUCAUGAAUUUCUUGAGAAUCUAGUCUCGUUAAAACUGAAAUUUGUGAAUCAGAUGCCAGAGGGGAUGGAAUAGAAAUUAAUGUUCAGAAACCAUCUGAAUAACGCACUGACUAAGUUUCACACCAAACCAAACAAAAUUGUUGGUUACCAACCACUCAUCUAACAUCUCACUAAUCAAGCAGCAAUGACCUGGAAUCUUACCUAAGGAUCUUAGCAGUUAAUACCGACGAUAUAAAAGACAAAAAUAUAUGAGGAAACAUUGAAAGAAAAAAGAAAGCUCAAGUAGAUCUGACAAGCAAAUGCAUAGGAUUUCAUUUGUGACAAAUAGAACAAACAGUAUGUGAAUAUUUCCAAAACAUAUCCCUAAAUAUUCGAUCAAGAUCAUAGGGUUCACAACCAUACCGACAACAUCAGCCGAUGCAACUUUGCCAUCGUUCAGGAUGCUGACAAUUUUCUUGACCUCCUCGCUGGUCCCAUUCUGCGAAUACGGCCCAAAUAAAAACACAUUUAGCAUCAGAGUUCCAUGAUCUUAUAUUUUUUCCCAUAUUUAGUAGGCAAUCAAAAUCAAAGAGGACUAGAGAACAUGGAGUGGAGACAUAAAAAAGGAAACAGAGGUGUCCGAAUCCAGUAUAUCAAGAAGAUCGACUCUAAUUAGUUAAAAUUAGUGGAAACGAAUAAGAUUAAUAUGAAUCAGAGAAGAACGAGAGGAAACAGCAACAAAUCAUGCCGAUCGAUGGGAUCGGAUAACUUAAAGCUGACGAUCGAUGAAAGACGAGUAAAUCGGAGAGAUUUCCAGCAACAAGGACUGGCCAAGACCGCAAAUUUCACCAGCCAGGCUAUUAAGAUCUGCAAAAGUGGCAGUAGGGCAAAGUACCAAGCGCGAUCUAGAAAAAGGAAGAAAAGGGUAAAUGCGAGGAUUACGCAUUUCCAGUUGCCGCCGACGAAGAACUUCCUGGCCAUGUCUGAGGAGGUAGGCGACGAUGCUCAAAUCCAAAAGCCCUUUCCCUUGGCUUGGUCGAAUUAGAGGAUGCGGAGGUCUGGGCACUCAUAUAUACGGCGACUGAGACGAGAGGCGAUGGAAACAAGGGGAUGCAUUGGCACGAAUCUCGAACGUGCCAUUGGCUCCGAUGGGUGUCCGCGAUCGAUCCCGCCCGUCGAAUCAUAAGGAUCAACGAUCUGCUGUUUCCCCUUGACACAGCGAAUAGAUUUAUCAUGGAAUAGAUAUCUAGACACGUAGAUAAAGCUUCCGGGACAGGACCCACAUACGUGCCGUCGUGCACAGCUGCCGGCGAGCUGACGGUGCGAGUCCUGCGUGGUGAUUGGGUUCUCGGGACAUCGAUUACACGCCGUCGAGGGCAAUAUAAUAAGAUCCAGGCACUUGUAAUACAGGAGGAGCCCAUCGGAUCGUACAUCUGUGGGUUGGAUGAACACAGCUCUCCACGAUCAUUCUAUUAUUAUUAUUAUUAUAGCAAUAUUAUAAUUAUUAUUUAAGAUCAAGAUACAGUUAACAUUUUUAGCAACUAAGCUAGUAAACAUCUUUAAUUUCUUUUAAAAAAUAUAUUAGAUGAUACUUUGACCUUUAAUAUUUGGUAAGAAAGUAUAAUAUAUCAUCACUAUAUUAAUAUUUAAUAUAUUUAUUGUAAUAAUAUUAAUUAUUAUAAAUUUAUGUAUCGGAUAAAAUAUUAUUAUAAGAUAUAUCGAGCAUGAUAUAUCUAUAUAGCUACAAGAUACAUCGAUCCAAAAUAUAAGCAUUAAUGUAUAGGAUGAACCAUAAUUGGGCAAAGGAUUUCUUAUGACCGAUGCAACCACUUAGAGCUCGACGAAGACAAUCAAAAUGUUUUUUUACUCUUUAAGAAAAUUAGAUUGAGAAGAAAACAAACAGGAAAAAGAAUUUUUUGUAUUGGGAAAAGACAGCUACUUCACAUAACAUAAAGCACCGAAUACAACACUGCUACCGUAUCCGGAAAUCAUACAUACUUAAAGGUAAGUAUGAUCGACAUCAUCUCUAAGUCUUACGGAAGGAUACUCCCUAUUUAAGAGCAACAACGCUUCAGCAACUCACGUCUGAUAUCUGCAGUUCCCGUAACCUGCCACAGUCAAAGAAUGAUCAGCGCUGCAGGAAUCAGGAAGAACAGAGAGGGAAAGCGUGAGAUCAGAUAAAACGCAUGCGUCCACUUACUUGGGUCGGUCGAGGUGAGGACGCCGCUGCCGCCAAAGUAGCAGUUGAAGUCAUGGCGGCCGGCGGCCUGGUAGUAGGCGUUCAUGGCAUAAGAGGCGUGGGCCAAGAGCGUGUUGGGGUCGAAGCACGCGCCGCCGUUCUGUAUGGCCCCGCAAUCCGCCCCGCCGCUGCCGCACGCGUAGUCGAUGUUGUUCUGCAGCUCCGCUAGGCUCGCGUCCGCCGUUGCCACGCACCACCUCCAGGAAUCACCCGAGGGCGCCGGCGCCUGCAGAAUACCACCGUCACUCGAGUAUCGAACGGAAGCAAAACUCAUUUCUAGCAUGGCUGCCCCAACCAUGUUAUCUAGCAUGACCGUCCGACCCUUUGGUAUAGUAACUUUUUUAGAAUGACGUAUUUACCCUCAAUAUAAUACGUAUACUCCCCCAAAAAACAGUGUUUAGUGUCGAUUGGUUUGAAUCAAAUAUUUAAGAUAUCAUUAAUAACAUUAUCACCGUAAAAUUGAACGGAUGUUUAUGAUAAAUUUAAAUUUAGAAGGAUAAAUACGAAUACGUGUAUAAGUAUAAUAUACGCAAUUUUGAAGUAAAAGUAAAGAGGAGGACAGGACUCACAUUGUCGCUGUCGCGCAUAAGGCCGACGUCGUAGGACGGGGAGAGGUCGGCGUUGAAGAGCCCAAAGUGCCGCUCCGCAGUCGGCCCGGGCUUCAGGUUCUCGUUGAACAGCGCGAACACGUACGUCUCGAACCGCCGGCCCGGCAUCAUCGGCGUUCCCUUCCCAGAGUUCACCAGACGUAUCAGGUUGGCGUUGUAGGAGACCGCGUCCUCCACGCUCACACCGAGCUGGCCCGGGUCCCCGGCCGACGGCCACCCCGUCUCCCCCACGGCGAUCUCUACGUCUCCGUACCCCAGUCGCUGCAUCGCCGCUUGCACCGCGUCCAGCUGCGCCACGAACAUGUUGGUGUAGUUCACCCCCGUGGCCGGGUCGAACACCCCCGGGUUGGGGCGGAAGAGGGCGUAGUCGAGAGUGCGCGCUGUGUAGCCGAAGUAGGGGUAGGGGUUCACCACGAACGGGGUGCGCGUCCGGCGGUGGAAGUCAAGCAUCGGGGCGAAGAUGACGCGGUCGUAGCCGGGGCGGAAGCGGCCGGUGGAGGGCGGCUCGGAUGCAGAGAGGAUACCGAGGGAGUGGGGGGUGGAGACCCUGAUCUGGGGGAAGCCGGAUGCGGCAAGUGCCGCGGAGAGGGAGCGCAUAGCGGGGACGAGAUGGGCGAUGAGGUUGCGGUCGGAGGUGGCGAGAACCUCGUUUCCGACGGCGAUGAGGGAGAUGUUGGUCGCAGGGUAGAAGGGGGCGACGUUUAUGGCAACCCAGGCGGAGGCAGCAGGGGAUGGGGCAGAGGAGCGACGGGAGGCGAGGGAGGGGAUGUCCCCGUUGGGGACCGUGAUCAUGAGGGAGAUUCCGGUGCCAGCGAAGGCACGAAUGAUGUCCGGGUUGGCGUCGAAGAGCUUCACACGGUCGACGAAGGUGCGGUCCUUGAGGAAGGCGGCGACUUGAGCCGGCGGCGGGAGAUUGUCCGCGAAGGCACCGUAGUUGACGCCGACGGAGAGGGCCGCGGACAAGGAGAGAAGGUGGAGUAGGAGUAAGGGGAAAACGACGAGCUUCGCUGCUUUCGCUAGAGAAGCCAUUGCCGAGGGAUUUGGGGCUUUUGGUGGUGAAGCGAGACGGCGAAGGGGGGUGGAUUUAACGAGGGAAAAAGGUGUGCGAUGUUCCACUGACGCCUGUGGGCGCUGUCACGUGGCGACGACUUCGAAACGGGGAAUACGAACGUUAUGUUUCAAGGAGGCUGCCGCGAUCCACAUUCAAAUACGUGGACGGCUGAUUGGGGCGGUCCAAACAAUAGCUUUAUGGACUAUGAUUUAGUGUACAUAAAAGCGGGCGUUAUAAAGAUUACCAAUUCAUUUCCAACGCAAAUAAUCCACGAUGAUUGCAGAUAUUAAAUAUAUAAUCACGCAUUUGUAUAUACAUAUUUGGUAAUAAUUAGGGGUUUCUUUAAUUGGAUUAAUUAAGGUAUUAAUAGCUUAAGAAACAGGAGCAAGAGAAAGAGCUUGAUGGGCCAUAAGGAGCAUUUGGACCUAACUUUGAUGGGCUGUAGAACGGCUCGAUAGAAGCCUGUCAAAAUGUGAAGCUGACGAGAACCGUUAAACCCUAACCGGCCGACUACUCCCUCUCUCUUCCUUCUCAGCGCUCCGUGCUUGCUGGUGACGAAGGUAUGACCGCUACAGCUCGCUAAGGAUGCUGGCCCGAUUCGUUUCCCAUCGCGGCCCCUUCCGCUUCGUAGCCCUAACCACCGUAGCUUCCUCCCAUGUCCGCCGCGCCCCGUCCUCUCCCCCUCCUCUCCGGCCUCCGCCCACCUUUCUUGGUACUCUUACUCGUCUCGCUCUCCCUCCCUCCGAUCCCAAUUCCACUUUCUUUCCGUCUCUGAGGUCAUUCUCGAGCAAUCGAGGUGACGAUGACGAUGGCGACUGGAAGUUUACGCCGCAGUCCGACGAGGUCGGCUCCGUAUUCGGGGAGGAGGAGGGCGACCUUGCCGGGAUCGCUGAUGCCGCAGAGGGCGGGUCGGAGGUGGCCGCCGCCGGGGCCGACGUUAAGAGCGGGGAUCUGUGGGAAAAGGGUAUUGUGACGGAGGGUGAAGGGGAUAUUUUUUACGGCAUCGAUCGGGGGUUUGUGGCCAAGGAGGGCGGGGUAAGAGAAGGGAAUGAGGAAUGGGAGACGGCGGAGGGGUACAAGCCGUGGACGCUUGGUGACGAUGAUGAGAAAGGGGACUUGUUCGGUGUCGUCGAAGAAGGGGAGGCAGGGAUUGAGGGGAUCGAUGGCGGUGGUGUCGAGGAUUUGGAUAAGGCAAGGGCUGAUGAGCAGAAGCAGCUGGAGAAGAAAGAGGAAGAACUUUUAGCUGCUUUGAAAGGUAAGAAUCACAGAACACAUCUCAAGAAAGGAUCUUCUUGUUUAAUGUUACCCGAUUGAUGUUAAUCUCAACAGUCAAUGCUUAUGUAUGUACCCAUUUUCUGCAAGCUGAUUUGUAAUUAUCAUUGAUCUGGAAUUUUCUAUGUUGCAAUAUUUAUUGAAAAGGUUUUAGCUUGUCUCUUCAAUAAUUUGAAGCUUAUCCUAGUUGUUUGUUGUCUUGUACUGUCACCUGUGCUGAUAUAUGUUUGGGAAAGAAACUGCUUCUUUCUUUAGGUUUCUCACAAAUGACUGGUCAUGUUUAUUGUUGGUUUGAUGAUGAACUUUCUUGCUGUAUCGUCUCCCAUUCCAAUUGUUUUGGUUCUCAAAAUGUCUUGUUCCUGUAGCAAGUGGCAUGAAUGACAUAUGGCAAGUAGCAGUCUCUAUUCAACAACAACUAAUGUCAAGUUGUCUUGCUCCUACAACAUAUAAAUAUGAAAAAAGCAUGAAUAAUCUGAGACACAGGCUUUGCCAUCUUUCUAAUGUGUACACGAGAGAGAGAGAGAGAGGACUCAAAAUAUAUUUUGUGUUAAACAUCUUUGUUCUAUGGUUACAUGUAAAUCCAUUGAAGUAAGAUUAUUGAUUUAAACCUAAUACCUGUGUGAAGGAAUUGUAUGUUUAUCUCAUCACAUAAUGUUGCUUCUUAGUUUCUAUUGUUGUUGUCUUUUCACUAUUUCUUCUUGUGGAGUGAUAUAUUUCUAUUUCAUCAUGGAAUGCUGUUUCUUACCUUCUUUUGGUGUUAUUGGUGUUCUUUCUUCUUGUGAAGUAAAUAUGAUAAGAUUAUGAGAAUUAAAAUGAGAAAUAAUAUAUGUUUAUUUCAUCAUAGAACAUUGCUUCUUAGUAUCUUUUGUUGUUUUCUUUGCUCUUUCUUCUUGUGAAAUAAUGUGGCAAUGUUGUGAGAAUUAAAAUGACAUCCGAGGAAAACAUAAUCUAUCUUGUUUUUAGCUCGUUUUAGCCCUUUUUUCUUUAGAGUGGUGGAUGUUCUUGAUACUAGUUUUCUCUGAGAGAUUUUACUCUUCUGUUUUGGUGAUCGUGCUUCUUUGUCAUCUUUGUUCUUUUGGUUAUCUAGCAGAACUUUUUUGGUAGUCCAAUUUCAUAUCUUGUUAUUUUACUUCUUUCUUUUAAUUUAAAUAUCCUGAAGAUAGUACAGGAUAACUGUUAGAUAGUUGAAGAUGUUUGGGUUCUGUUGUAUUGUAUGUUGGUACUUUCAGAGUAGGACCAAUGAAUAGAUAAGAAGCUCCAUUCAUGUUAAAGAGACUCUGAUUGCUUGCAUCUUGUGUUUCUCCUUAGUACACAGCAAUGCAAACUGCUUAGGGCUCAAUGUUUAAAAUGGCAGGUCCAAAUCGGGCAUUUGGAGAUCUCAUUGCAGCAUCAGGAAUCACGGAUGAUAUGAUUGACAGUUUGAUUCUCUUGAAGGAUGUAAGCGGUGUCAAGGGUUUGCCUCCCCUGACAGAAAUUGAAGACAAAGCUAUUGCAAGAUUGAAUGAGACAUCAACAAGAGUUGAAAUUGAGCGGAAGAAACAGGAGGAAGUAGCAAAAGCUCGGGUUAGAGUGGUGGAUGAGAAGGGGAGAGCUUAUGGAACAGGAAGACGAAAAUGUAGCAUAGCUCGUGUAUGGAUUCAACCUGGUGACGGCAAGUUCAUCGUCAAUGAAAAGCAGUUCGAUGCUUACUUCUCAAUUCUUGAUCAUCGAGUACAACUUCUUCAGCCUUUCAUUGUGACAAAAACUCUUGGUCUCUGGGAUGUAAAUUGCACCGUCCAAGGGGGUGGAGUUUCUGGUAAGCUUUAUGACUACAAAAUUAUCUUUGUUUUGAGAAUUAUUGUAGAUGAACGAUCCAAUUUUAAGUAGAAAAUAACAGUGAUUUAAAAAGGUGCUUGAGCGCUCGCCUAGGUCUCGGGCAAGACGAGACGAGGCUCAAGCCCCUCGUUUAAGGGCCAGGUUGCGCGCUUCAAAGAGGCGUCGCCUGGGCGCUCGCUCCAGACUAGGCACCGGGUGCUUCGGGCAAUCGCCCGGUUUAAUUAAGCAAACCGAACCAGACUUUUAAGUCUGGUUUGGUUAAAUAAUAUAGUUUCUUACCUCAAGCCACCCUUCACUCUCGCACGACCCCGAGGAACCCUAGUGUUGCUUCUGCCUUUGUCAUCGACACUUUUUGUCGUUGCCUCCGCCACUAAUGCAAAGGACCAAACCUUCCUUUGUCGUCGACUGGCGAGUCCGACGCCCCCCGUAGCUUCCUUCCGCUGUUGCUCUGUGUGCAGUUCCUUCCACUGUCGAGGGAGUGGAUCGCAAAUUCCUUCGCCACUGACGGACACCCUCUGAAGCUUUUGUCGUUGUUGCUGUUGCUGUCCGCAGCUUUCGUUGCCGAUGUCCGUAACUUCCUCCAUUGGCGCUGUUGCUAUUCGCAACUUUCGCCGCUAUCACUGCUGUUGUCCGCAACUUCUACCGUUGUCGCUGUUGCAACAAUUUUAAACUGAUCCUCUGUUAUUGUUAACAUUUUUUUCUCCCCUCUAACUAUUGUUAAUAGUAAAUAAUAUACUGUUAACAGUAUAUUUUUAAUUUAAUAUCAUAUUUUAUUUAAAUAUUUUUUAUUAUUUUAUAUAUUUUAAUAUUUUAAUAUUUUAGAGCAUUUCGUUUUGCUCGGUGAGCGCCAAGUGCCUUAGCCAUUUUGGGACCUUGGUGCCUAGCGUUUUUUAAAUCACUGACAAGUACAUGUGUCGUAAGACAUACACAAGCAUUGUUAUAAAUUCUGUUUUUCUUAGUUGACGAACUGAAAGACAAAAAUUACCUUUGUAGAUUUAGAGAGGCUAUCUUUUCUUGUUUUUAGCUAUGGGACUGAUGCAACGAACCUCUUCGCUAUUGCAGGUCAAGUUGGUGCCAUUCGCUUGGGAAUCAGCAGAGCCUUGCAAAACUGGGAACCAGGGCUCCGGCCUUUCCUAAAAGCUGGUAAAUACUCUUACCAAAUUAGUUAUUAAGAUAUACUGUGAUAAAAUUUAACAAUCCAUUUUAAAUCCUAGCAUUGCAGUGUAACCUCAUCCUCAUUGUGCUUCUCAUGAACCCCCUCUUGGAUUUAGUAACCGACCUACCUUCAUCGCCCGUGUUUAGAUUCGAGUAGUGUGGCAUAUAGUGUGGUACUUAUUAUCCAACUGUUGACAUGGCUUGUGUGCUUCAUCUAGCUGGCUAUUUGACGCGAGACCCACGUGUAGUCGAACGGAAGAAGCCUGGAAAGGCCAAAGCCAGGAAGAGCUUUCAAUGGGUCAAGCGAUAACAGGUGUGGUUGUCAUUCCCUUUCUCACUGGAGAUACACUACCCUGUCACCAUUUAGGGGCUUACGAUGUUGAUCUGGAGAUGUAUCAUUUAUAAUGUGCAGGUUCUUGCGCAUCUUCUGCUCUCAGCUAUUUGGUAUUGCUGGCCCCUCAGUGAUGUUAUACCUCUGCUUGUUUUGUAGCCUGUAGCUCAAGAGAUCUUACUUACUACUUGCUCAUCCACUUGUGAUCAUAUAAUUAAUUUAUUUGAGCAACUGUAGGCAUCCAUCUAUCAAUCUUUUGCUUGUCAGCUUUUAUGUGGACCUUCUGUGUUUCAGAAUAAAGCGAACCAUCAAUUUUUCAAAGAGACACCAUUACUGUUCCAGAAUUGAAUUGAGGAAGGUAGUGAUGAUGUCUUGUUGUUUUUAAAGGUAACGGUGUAAAUCCUUUUAUCAAUAAUGUUUCUUUAGAAAAUUAUAAGACCUGAAAGUGAAUCAGAUUAUCAAUUUAUAUUUUACAUUGGAAAUUGUGCAAAAUGAUAUGUUGAACCUCAUUUCCCUUCUCUCCAUCUCUUCCGGUUUCUCCCAUUUGACAAACUUAUUGGGAAUAUUGAUCUGAAUUUAUUUUUAUAUCUGAGGAGUUAAUGACCUGACAAAGAUACACUUUUUGAUUUAUUUGUCGAGGAUUAAAGAUUCAAUGAUCUUUUUUGAUUUAUUUGGCAAGAAUUUAAUAAAUAAACAUUCAAAUUUUAUCAACAUUUUUUUAUACCAAAAAUAUUGAUCUUCUUGUUUAUCUGCAUAAUCAAUCCACUUCUCUAAAAUCACAAGCUCAGAACAGGAAAGCGAUAUGCAUCACAGGAAGAAAACUUGCUUCUUUUUCAAGUACUAAACGACACACAACACUCGAAACUAACAGCAGACGCACACAAACCACAGACAACAAGAUAGAAGCAAGAGAGAGAGAGAGAGAGAGAGGGAGAGGUCUGUUCUCUCUCUCAGCCAUGGUGACGAGAACAACAUCCUCCGAGGGAAGAGGGUUGAGACAGUAAGCCAUGGCCUUUUAUUUCCAUCACCAAGUCCAAACACAAGUCACUAACCCCACAACACCACCACCGAUGCUGCUCCUCUCCCUCUUCAAACUCUGAUCAUCUCCCUCAUUUGCAG
RNAcentral lists this long non-coding RNA (10753 nucleotides) under Musa acuminata (dwarf banana). RNAcentral's name for it is "long non-coding RNA (MACU_LNC006811)". The record is from RNAcentral. Lineage: Eukaryota; Viridiplantae; Streptophyta; Magnoliopsida; Zingiberales; Musaceae.